AUUGAACGCUGGCGGCAGGCCUAACACAUGCAAGUCGAGCGGAUGAAGGGAGCUUGCUCCUGGAUUCAGCGGCGGACGGGUGAGUAAUGCCUAGGAAUCUGCCUGGUAGUGGGGGAUAACGUCCGGAAACGGGCGCUAAUACCGCAUACGUCCUGAGGGAGAAAGUGGGGGAUCUUCGGACCUCACGCUAUCAGAUGAGCCUAGGUCGGCUUAGCUAGUUGGUGGGGUAAAGGCCUACCAGGCGACGAUCCGUAACUGGUCUGAGAGGAUGAUCAGUCACACUGGAACUGAGACACGGUCCAGACUCCUACGGGAGGCAGCAGUGGGGAAUAUUGGACAAUGGGCGAAAGCCUGAUCCAGCCAUGCCGCGUGUGUGAAGAAGGUCUUCGGAUUGUAAAGCACUUUAAGUUGGGAGGAAGGGCAGUAAGUUAAUACCUUGCUGUUUUGACGUUACCAACAGAAUAAGCACCGGCUAACUUCGUG
This 483-nucleotide ribosomal RNA is filed under the name uncultured bacterium. Its description in RNAcentral is "partial 16S ribosomal RNA". It matches the Rfam family "Bacterial small subunit ribosomal RNA", at positions 30 to 507 of the family's 1533-position model. The record is from RNAcentral.